Molecule: ribosomal RNA, 43 nt
Filed under: Exophiala phaeomuriformis
Lineage: Eukaryota; Fungi; Ascomycota; Eurotiomycetes; Chaetothyriales; Herpotrichiellaceae
Description: partial 5.8S ribosomal RNA
Source: RNAcentral
AACUUUCAACAACGGAUCUCUUGGUUCUGGCAUCAAUGAAAAA